RNAcentral lists this long non-coding RNA (1295 nucleotides) under Takifugu rubripes (torafugu). Its description in RNAcentral is "lncRNA (ENSTRUG00000029147.1)". The record is from RNAcentral. Lineage: Eukaryota; Metazoa; Chordata; Actinopteri; Tetraodontiformes; Tetraodontidae.
GUAAAACCAAGGUCCCUCCAGAAGAUCACUAUUCCAGUCAUGAUAUGAGAUAUACUUUUGACUCCAACAAAGGAUCAUGCAAGGGUGGCCUCAAAUCUUGAUCCAAAUCACCCACUCGUUUGAUUCUAGAAAAUCCAGAUGUGUUAGCUCCUGGCUACAUGGUCCCAGGCAAGCACAAUUGAACUUGUCCCAUCACUGUAGUAGGGGCUGUCACACACAGCACAAAAAUGGCUAAGAAGUGUCUUGAACUUGUAAAUUCAUGUGCUACUAAAUUGUGAGACAUAAUCUAAAAGGAUUAUAUGAACUGUUUCAGACUUUGGGCAGCACCAGGGCAGCUCUCUGAUCACUGGCUUUGUCCCCUGCCAUGAUUCUAACCAGAUGGGACCUCCAAUGGAGAUGGACCAAGGCCAAAAUUCCACAGAGGUUGCAGAAUUGCCCCUUCCUUCAGCAAGGCAGGUUGAGGAACACCUCCCAUCCUCUCCAUCCAAACCACUACAUGAUCUUAAGCCAGGCAACUGGAUCAUGAUAAAGAAUCCCAGCAGCAGGCGAAGGAAACAUUGCCUCUGGGUGGGUCCACACCAGGUGCUGCAAACAUCUGACACGCACAUCAUGAUUGCUGAAGGAGCAACCUGGUUGGAUAGCAGCCAGUUUGAGAAGUUGUCUUAGUAUUAUGAGUGUUCUUUAACAAAUGUUCAAUAAUUUAAAUAAUAUUUAAUGUCUGUGACGGGUUCUGGGUGUGUCAGCAACAAUAAACACUUUCUGCUUGCUGUCCAGUUUCUAUCAGGCAUUGAUUCCUUAACCAAUCACAUUUCCAUCCUCUGAUUUGCUGGUCCAAGCAAAAUUGUUAGGUUUGUUAGGUUUUGGGUUUUUUCCAGGACCCAAAAGCAGGUAGAAUGCAGUGGUAAAAAGUCUAAGUUUUUAUUCAAAGAUCAAUUUGGCUCCUGGACCGCAGGGAGGCACUCAUCCGGUCUUCCGGGGCACACAAAGACCUCCAGCAUGGAGCCAACACAGGAGUCAGGUCCUGCACGUUCUACAGUCCAGCAGGGCAGCGUGGAGACCUCAAACGAGCAGGGAGAAACAGAUCAACAAGUUGCAAACAACCAAAGAAGAGGAAACAGGAGUCAGCUCUACCAUGGGAAACCACCAAAACUCUCCAACACUGGCAGACAGGCGCUCCGUCCUUAAAUAGGUGGCCUGAUGUAGAUUGCCGACAGGUGCGCCUGCCUGCAGUGCUAGCUGUGGGAAAUGAUCAGCUCCUCCACGCCCCCUGCAGGAAACACCAUACAACACACUUU